Molecule: non-coding RNA, 24 nt
Filed under: Rattus norvegicus (Norway rat)
Lineage: Eukaryota; Metazoa; Chordata; Mammalia; Rodentia; Muridae
Source: RNAcentral
UCUCAGUCAGGGAUCUUUGGGGGU